UGCAGUCGAACGCUUCUUUUUCCACCGGAGCUUGCUCCACCGGAAAAAGAGGAGUGGCGAACGGGUGAGUAACACGUGGGUAACCUGCCCAUCAGAAGGGGAUAACACUUGGAAACAGGUGCUAAUACCGUAUAACAAUCAAAACCGCAUGGUUUUGAUUUGAAAGGCGCUUUCGGGUGUCGCUGAUGGAUGGACCCGCGGUGCAUUAGCUAGUUGGUGAGGUAACGGCUCACCAAGGCCACGAUGCAUAGCCGACCUGAGAGGGUGAUCGGCCACAUUGGGACUGAGACACGGCCCAAACUCCUACGGGAGGCAGCAGUAGGGAAUCUUCGGCAAUGGACGAAAGUCUGACCGAGCAACGCCGCGUGAGUGAAGAAGGUUUUCGGAUCGUAAAACUCUGUUGUUAGAGAAGAACAAGGAUGAGAGUAACUGUUCAUCCCUUGACGGUAUCUAACCAGAAAGCCACGGCUAACUACGUGCCAGCAGCCGCGGUAAUACGUAGGUGGCAAGCGUUGUCCGGAUUUAUUGGGCGUAAAGCGAGCGCAGGCGGUUUCUUAAGUCUGAUGUGAAAGCCCCCGGCUCAACCGGGGAGGGUCAUUGGAAACUGGGAGACUUGAGUGCAGAAGAGGAGAGUGGAAUUCCAUGUGUAGCGGUGAAAUGCGUAGAUAUAUGGAGGAACACCAGUGGCGAAGGCGGCUCUCUGGUCUGUAACUGACGCUGAGGCUCGAAAGCGUGGGGAGCAAACAGGAUUAGAUACCCUGGUAGUCCACGCCGUAAACGAUGAGUGCUAAGUGUUGGAGGGUUUCCGCCCUUCAGUGCUGCAGCUAACGCAUUAAGCACUCCGCCUGGGGAGUACGACCGCAAGGUUGAAACUCAAAGGAAUUGACGGGGGCCCGCACAAGCGGUGGAGCAUGUGGUUUAAU
RNAcentral lists this ribosomal RNA (923 nucleotides) under Enterococcus faecium. RNAcentral's name for it is "bacterial SSU rRNA". It matches the Rfam family "Bacterial small subunit ribosomal RNA", at positions 56 to 950 of the family's 1533-position model. Lineage: Bacteria; Bacillati; Bacillota; Bacilli; Lactobacillales; Enterococcaceae. The record is from RNAcentral.